RNAcentral lists this ribosomal RNA (447 nucleotides) under uncultured bacterium. RNAcentral's name for it is "bacterial SSU rRNA". It matches the Rfam family "Bacterial small subunit ribosomal RNA", at positions 29 to 520 of the family's 1533-position model. The record is from RNAcentral.
AACGAACGCUGGCGGCAGGCUUAACACAUGCAAGUCGAACGGGUGUCGCAAGACAUCAGUGGCAGACGGGUGAGUAACACGUGGGAACCUUCCUAGGGGUACGGAACAACUCAGGGAAACUUGAGCUAAUACCGUAUACGUCCGUAAGGAGAAAGAUUCAUCGCCCCUAGACGGGCCCGCGUCGGAUUAGGUAGUUGGUGGGGUAACGCCUACCAAGCCUACGAUCCGUAGCUGAUCUGAGAGGANGAUCAGCCACACUGGGACUGAGACACGGCCCAGACUCCUACGGGAGGCAGCAGUGGGGAAUCUUGGACAAUGGGCGCAAGCCUGAUCCAGCCAUGCCGCGUGAGUGAAGAAGGCCUUAGGGUUGUAAAGCUCUUUUACCAGGGACGAUAAUGACGGUACCUGGAGAAUAAGCCCCGGCAAACUUCGUGCCAGCAGCCGCCG